UACGUAGAGUGCAACGACGUUGUCCCGGAAUUAGUUGGGCGUAAAGGGUACGCAGGCGGAUAGUAAAGUCAAGCGUGAAAGGUGUCGGGCUUAACCGACAGACUGCGUUUGAAACUGGAUUAUCUUGAGUGUAACAGAGGAGAGUGGAAUUCCUAGUGUAGUGGUGAAAUACGUAGAUAUUAGGAAGAACACCAGUGGCGAAGGCGACUCUCUGGGUUAACACUGACGCUGAGGUACGAAAGCUGGGGGGAGCAAACGGGGAUUAGAUACCCCGCGUAGU
Molecule: ribosomal RNA, 280 nt
Filed under: uncultured bacterium
Lineage: Bacteria
Description: partial 16S ribosomal RNA
Rfam family: Bacterial small subunit ribosomal RNA
Source: RNAcentral